Molecule: RNase P RNA, 366 nt
Filed under: Microcoleus sp. FACHB-1515
Lineage: Bacteria; Bacillati; Cyanobacteriota; Cyanophyceae; Oscillatoriales; Microcoleaceae
Also listed under: 1 other name
Description: Bacterial RNase P class A
Rfam family: Bacterial RNase P class A
About the family: Ribonuclease P (RNase P) is a ubiquitous endoribonuclease, found in archaea, bacteria and eukarya as well as chloroplasts and mitochondria. Its best characterised activity is the generation of mature 5'-ends of tRNAs by cleaving the 5'-leader elements of precursor-tRNAs. Cellular RNase Ps are ribonucleoproteins.
Source: Rfam by way of RNAcentral
AGAGGAGGCGAGGCAGUUGCGGGCGCAAGCCUGAGGAAAGUCCGGUCUCCCGAACGACCACACCUGCUGGAUAACGUCCAGUGCGAGCGAUCGUGAGGAUAGUGCCACAGAAACAUACCGCCUUCGGGUAAGGGUGCAAAGGUGCGGUAAGAGCGCACCAGCAGCAUCGAGAGGUGCUGGCUCGGUAAACCCCGGUGGGGAGUAAGGUCGAAGGAACAAGGGUUGGUCGUUUUCCCGUUCCGAGCAGGAAGCAAUUCCUGUGCAUCCGCUAGAGACAUUUGGUAACAGAUGUUCGAGAUAGAUAACUGCCCUGGCAUGGGGCAACUCAAUGUCAGAACAGAACCCGGCUUAUGUCCGCCUCUUUCC